RNAcentral lists this long non-coding RNA (1440 nucleotides) under Monodelphis domestica (gray short-tailed opossum). Its description in RNAcentral is "lncRNA (ENSMODG00000028130.2)". Lineage: Eukaryota; Metazoa; Chordata; Mammalia; Didelphimorphia; Didelphidae. The record is from RNAcentral.
AUAAAAUAGAAAAUAUUGAGGAUAAAAUAGAAAAUAUUGAGGAUAAAAUAGAAAAUAUUGAGGAUAAAAUAGAAAAAAUUGAGGAUAAAAUAGAAAAAAUUGAGGAUAAAAUAGAAAAUAUUGAGGAUAAAAUAGGAAUUAUUGAGGAUAAAAUAGGAAAUAUUGAGGAUAAAAUAGGAAAAAUUGAGGAUAAAAUGCAAGCCCAAUUAGAAGAUCUAAAAAGUUUCUUACAGGAUCAAUUGGCAAACAACCACUCUACCAGAAACAGACCUGUUUCUGAACCUUUGAAUGAGGAAAUUUCCUUCCCUGAAAUAGAGAUGGAAAACACCUUCCCUAUAGCCCAGUUAACAGACUACUUCUCUUGUGCAGUGCAAAUCUUGACUGAAUUUAAUCCCCAAAACCCUUCCCCUGCAAUCCCAGUUUCUCAUGUUCCCUCUCCUAUAGAAAACCAAAUUCCAACGCAAAGGAGAUCUUGUCCUCCUAGAGAAACCUGUCCUUGUCAAACUGACCCACAGGUACAAAAUUCAACUAGAGGCCUGUUUCCUCUAAGAGAAGUACCUGAAAUAGGACGGAAUGGGGAUGUGGUGACUUUAAGACAUAGGAUACCGUUUACUCCCCAAGAAAUAAAUGAAUUUACACGAAAUAUCCUCACAUAUGAACAAGAUCCUUUUCUAGUAACAAAAAAGAUGGGAGACAUAUUUUUUCAGUAUAAUCCAUCUUACAAGGACGUUGAGAACUUACUACAGGCUUUUUUAAGUGAACGUGAAAAAAAUAAAAUAAUUGCUCAUGUCAACAAAACCCGGGGGCGUAAUGCAGCACAUUGGCCAUCUCAGGAUCCCAAAUGGGACUAUAACAAUCCUGAGGAUUAUCUACAACUAUACCAUUGUAGAGAGGCCAUCCUGACGGCAAUGAAGGAAUAUGCAGACAGUACAGAUAAGUGGAUGGAACUGGAAAAAAUUAAGCAAAAGGAAGAAUCACCCUCCAGAUUUAUGGAUAGAAUUAUCGAGUUUGGGGACAGAUACUUAGAUUGGGACUUAACUAAAGAGAGUAGUUUAAGACAAGUUAGAAGAAUCUUUGUAAAUAACUCUUGCAAAGCAAUUAAGAAUUAUUUUAGAACACAAUGCCCAAGAUGGUCAGAUAUGGACCUUGAAGAAUUGCGAAAAACAGCUAUAUAUGUUUUAAAGGGAAACAAAGAAAAGGAGAAAGAAAAUAAUGAUGACAUGGAGGAAGUGAAGAAAAAAAUAAGAUAUUUAAUAGAUAGGAUGACUAAAUUAGAAAGUGGGCAUGAUAAUGAACCAACGACAAUUGCCCCUCUCCAGAAAUCCAAUUAUCAAUCCAUUACUUGCCACUUCUGUGAGAAGAAGGGCCACAAAAUGAUGGAAUGUAGAACCUUUCUUAAGAUGUUUGGAAGGAAUACACAGUUUAAUAAUAGCUUUAAAA